Regulatory RNA element from Oryctolagus cuniculus (rabbit), 45 nucleotides. It matches the Rfam family "Histone 3' UTR stem-loop". From Rfam's summary of the family: The mRNAs of metazoan histone genes lack a poly-A tail. 3' end processing occurs at a site between a highly conserved stem-loop (modelled by this family) and a purine rich region around 20 nts downstream (the histone downstream element, or HDE). The record is from Rfam. Lineage: Eukaryota; Metazoa; Chordata; Mammalia; Lagomorpha; Leporidae.
CAAAAGGCUCUUUUCAGAGCCACUCAGAGUCUCAGGGAAGGCUGU